RNAcentral lists this ribosomal RNA (648 nucleotides) under uncultured Methanosaeta sp. RNAcentral's name for it is "bacterial SSU rRNA". It matches the Rfam family "Archaeal small subunit ribosomal RNA", at positions 1 to 661 of the family's 1478-position model. Lineage: Archaea; Methanobacteriati; Methanobacteriota; Methanomicrobia; Methanotrichales; Methanotrichaceae. The record is from RNAcentral.
UCUGGUUGAUCCCGGCAGAGGUUACUGCUAUCGAGGUUCGGCUAAGCCAUGCGAGUCGAAUGUAGCAAUACAUGGCGUACUGCUCAGUAACACGUGGACAACCUACCCUUAGGUCGGGGAUAAACCCGGGAAACUGGGUAUAAUACCCGAUAGUCCUCGAAUGCUGGAAUGCAUCGAGGUCUAAAGCUCCGGCGCCUAAGGAUGGGUCUGCGGCCUAUCAGGUAGUAGUGGGUGUAGCGUACCUACUAGCCUACGACGGGUACGGGUUGUGAGAGCAAGAGCCCGGAGAUGGAUUCUGAGACACGAAUCCAGGCCCUACGGGGUGCAGCAGGCGCGAAAACUUUACAAUGCCGGCAACGGCGAUAAGGGGACCUCGAGUGCCAGGUUACAAAUCUGGCUGUCGUGAUGCCUAAAAAGCAUUGCAUAGCAAGGGCCGGGCAAGACCGGUGCCAGCCGCCGCGGUAACACCGGCGGCUCGAGUGGUAACCGUUAUUACUGGGUCUAAAGGUCUGUAGCCGGCCGGAUAAGUCUCUUGGGAAAUCCAGCAGCUCAACUGUUGGGCUUUCAGGAGAUACUGUCUGGCUCGAGGCCGGGAGAGGUGAGAGGUACUUCAGGGGUAGGGGGAAAUCUUGUAUCUGAAGGACCACC